Molecule: ribosomal RNA, 531 nt
Filed under: uncultured archaeon
Lineage: Archaea
Description: bacterial SSU rRNA
Rfam family: Archaeal small subunit ribosomal RNA
Source: RNAcentral
AUUCCGGUUGAUCCUGCCGGAGGCCAUUGCUAUUGGGAUCCGAUUUAGCCAUGCUAGUCGCACGAGUUCAGACUCGUGGCGAAUAGCUCAGUAACACGUGGCCAAACUACCCUUCGGAACACAAUACCCUCGGGAAACUGAGGCUAAUAGUGUAUACCACAUCACCACUGGAAUGAGUGAUGUGCCAAACGCUCCGGCGCCGAAGGAUGUGGCUGCGGCCGAUUAGGUAGACGGUGGGGUAACGGCCCACCGUGCCAAUAAUCGGUAUGGGUCAUGAGAGCGAGAACCCAGAGACGGAAUCUGAGACAAGAUUCCGGGCCCUACGGGGCGCAGCAGGCGCGAAGCCUUUACACUGCACGACAGUGCGAUAGGGGGAUCCCAAGUGCACAGGCAUAGCGCCUGUGCUUUUCGGUACCGUAAGGUGGUACCAGAAUAAGGGCUGGGCAGGACCGGUGCCAGCCGCCGCGGUAAUACCGGCAGCCCAAGUGAUGGCCGAUCUUAUUGGGCCUAAAGCGUCCGUAGCUACUUUCC